UCUUGUCGCAUAAAAGGAAACUCCGUGAAGUACGUUGAGAUGGUCAUCAAGCGCUUGGCUUUCUGUGGAUUCCACGGGAAGUAAGCUAACCUUAUACUGCGCAAGGGCACCAGUUCUAGACAACCAUCCAGGUCCUUGGACAGUGAGGCAACAGCCCUUGCACGAGAGCCCUAGCCACACUCAUACUGUGAGUGUGGAGUCUGGGACCAGAAGGAAAAAGCUCCACGUGUUUCUGUUUGCAUGGGUCAUACACGUUGGGCGUGUGGAGAUAUAGGCCCUCCCUGAGCUCAGAGUUUUUAUCCUAGACUUUGGUAAAUGUUUGCAAAAACAAAAUGACAUCUUGCUAAAGCUUACCCCUAAGAAAAAUAAAUGACACAGAGGGAAACGUGGGAAAAUCAUCUAUUUUAAUGUAUUAUUUAAUAGUAGUAAAACAACUCAUCCAUGGCUCUUUAUUAUGCACAAAAAUUAAUCAGGUCAGGGCUAGGGAGAAAAUUAAUGUUAAUGUUUUUAGUUUCUUUUAAAAACCACUACCCUUUACCAGCUUUUAACUCUUUUAGAAUCAAUAAUAGGUAUACUGUCGUAAUUUACAUAGAGAAGUUCAGCACUUAAUUAAAUGUAAAAAUUAUUUUCAUUUUCCAAUAGAUGUGUUUCUCAAAGUGUUGUCUGGGGACUCCUGGGACACUUUCUAGCUGAUCACAUGUGGAUUAAAUGAAAGAAACAUCAGAUGGCUGGUCUUGCAAAGCUGAAGGCAGGCCAUUGACCCAGGAGUUGGUCUGAGCUUCUGGCAGAAGCAGCCAUUGUCCUGGAAAGUCGAAAUGAGGAACAAAAAGUCUGAAGUCCUGAAAAUGAUACACAUUGCAGCCUCUUUGCCUUUCUUUUACUUCCUUUAUUGUUCUCACCUCAUCAUGAAUUAGAAUGUAAUGCAGGAGCAGCAUGACAGAUCUUGCCCACUGAGCCACUAAAGGAAAAGAAAUUACAAAAUUUUUAAAUGAAAAAUCAUGAAUAAGUAAAGCAAGAGACUAUUUCUCUCUGACAUAGCAGCCUGCCCUCACUGCCCUGCAUUCUCAGAGGGAGAUGGAGACAGAGACAGAGGAAUGAAGAAGCCCAAUGGAAUCCACUCACUGAUAAACAACCAAAGGUCAUUAGUUUCUGUAACAUAAGCUUCUAAUGAGACACAUCAUCAUCACUGAAUCCCCUGUGCCCAGCUCAGAAACCUCAAGCACAACAAGUGUUCAAUAGUUUAAGUAAAAGAGUUGAAUAGUAAAAUCUGUUCUUGGCAACAUAAAAAUUAUGUGCCUACUGAAGGUGAAAUGAUUGCCGUUGGGUAAUUCCUCCACCUCCUUAGACGAAAGAAAUGUUUGCUCUCAGCACCUGAGGGCUGUUGACAUUUUUGAUACCUGGGGACUGAGUCAGGAGAGCAGGAGGUCACCACUGAGGACUGAGGUCCUUCACGCAAACACUUUAGGAGCAAGGGUGACGGUCCUGAAGGAUAAAUUAUUUUGCCAACACGGAAAUAAACCCCUCCACAGAAAAUAAAUCCUCAGGAUUGAAGUCCUCAGGCUGUGGUGAGCCUGCCCUCAGUUCUUGAGUCCAGGAGAGUUCAGGAUGAGGCCUCUGUCACUGGGGAGGAGCUG
This 1634-nucleotide long non-coding RNA is filed under the name Equus asinus (donkey). RNAcentral's name for it is "lncRNA (ENSEASG00005036028.1)". Lineage: Eukaryota; Metazoa; Chordata; Mammalia; Perissodactyla; Equidae. The record is from RNAcentral.